GUGCCUAAAGCAAGACUCUAGCUAAUUAAGAAAAGGUUUAUUUAUGUGUCUAAGUCCUUUUCCUUGAGAGAUGCAGUAAGCAGAGCAGUGUGUGUCUUGACUUUAACAGAAAUGUGAGAAGAUGACAGAUCUCUUCAGAGCAGGUCCUGUGGUCAGUGAGGUGCUUGCCUCCCCCCCCAAGGAUGAAUGUCUGUCAACAAGGCGGUUCAUUGGCAUUCUGCUGUGAAGACGGAAGAAAUCUGCCUGUAGUGACACAGCAAUGGCAAGAUCGAUGCAUUGGACAAUGCGCAGACGUCAUCAGCGUGAUAGGUAAUGUCAGAAAUCACAAGGAGAUGCUGGAACAACUCAUACUUUCUUCGCCCUGGAUAAAAUUUCGUCCAUCUAGAGGCCUCCCUAUGUGAGUGGGACAUAAACUUGCAAAUAACUGGUCCUGAUGCAUGGGAAGUGAGUAGUAGUAAAGACUGAUUUGUAAAUAGCUAUAUACAGCAGGAUUUGAAAAUCUGUUUAGCUGUGGGAUAUGCCAACUGCUGAAAAAUGAAAGGAGUUUUUCCUUGGCCACGGGGCGUGUUGCAUGCUGCAGUCAGUGUGAGCUGAAUUUGACACAAGGAAAUGGCUGGAGAAACAGAUAGCUUCUCUGCAUAGCAACAGGUUGAUCACAAUAUUCCAGGCUCAGCAAGGAAUUUACAAGUCACUAAGAUAAUUAAUGACUUUAAAUGGGAGGAAAGGGCAUUUGAAUUUACAAGGAACCACAACUUAUUUUUCAGUUUAAAUUAAUCACUGCUAUUGUUUAAAUGUCUCAGUGACACUAGGGAAAAAGAUGAACUUAUUUGUCUUUGGAAUUUUAAUAGCAAUUACAAUUCUCCAUAAUAAACAUAACCAAAAUACUCUCUUGUCAAUCAAACUGACUAAUGAGAUCAGCAAAAGAGUGGAUAGCCAGGGAACAAUACCCACUUGACUGACAGGUGCCCACAAACUCUUUUGAGUAUACAGGCAGCACAAAGAAAAAUUCAAAUAUUUUCUAAUUAUUUAGGGCAAGGAUUGUAGGAAAUUGGGGUUUUUAUUCAUGGUAGAAUGAUGCGAGUGAAGCUCAUCUUAAACAGUGAAGGGUGAGGGAGCUUUUCCCAAGGGCCUCCAGGCAGUUUGACCUCUUCAUAUUCCAAGGAUGUAUUUUUGCACACUUAAUCCAAAUUCACCCAUGGCAGAAGUGACAGCCUCCUGAAGAGCACUUACUUUCCCCAUCAGCUUUUACCUGUGAGGUUCAAUGGCAGUAAGAUUUGUAGGAGCAUGAGUACAAAGGUGAAAUACAAAGGACGCCCUAAUCUUUCUGAGUGUACUGGCAUUCCCAAAGUGACUCUGUGUGUGGCAAAAUGCCUUUUCUAAAUGUCAUGAAAUGGCUGUCGGAGCUCUGUGGUCCCAUGAGUGGCUGCACAGCUCUUAGGCAGUGCUGUAUAUUGCAGUGCUUGUGUCUCUCUUCAGUUAUGCUGUAAAACACGUUAAACCUUGUAACGCAGCACAGGAGAAAAUUUCACCCAAAUGGAUGUAUUCAGGCAGCUUUAUCUUUGAAUAGUGCUAAAUCAAAAAUGAGACUCCAAGUAUUAUAUUUUGCUUGGUCUCAAUGCAAAUAAUUUGCGCAACGCAAAAUCACCAGUAUCGCAGGAUUUCCACAAGCAGCACAAGUGUAGUAGGAGCUGAUUGAAGUUUUUCUCAAGAUUACUCCAAUUUCCUAAAAAAAAAAAAAACACCAAAAACCUACAAAAGCUGGCAAAUCUGCUAUGACCUCUAGGCUUGUAACAAGCUGGUUCUGCAGGGUUUGAAGGGUUUAGCUAUAUGACACACAGAAAAAUUGAGAGUACUUGAGCCAUGUGGUUCCAAUCAAAUACUACGUUUUUUAAUGCAGCCAGCUGAAAGACCACAAAGUUAGAAACAAACAAAUGUAGACCACAUGUACUGAACCAAAUCUGUGAAAUGCAUACCUCUGAUGAUGAGCAAAGAGAUGCACAUGAAGCACAGUGUAACGCCAUAGGCAGAAAGGUUGGAUUUAAUGAUGGUUCAGUUUGUGAUAGCGCCUCUCAGAUUGCGUACAUGCUAGUAACACAGCCUCUGGCCCCAAAUAUUCAUAGUCUUCAUACAAAAUGUGAGUACAGUCCUUUGGCUGCUGAGAAUUGGAGUCAUGAGCAGGACUAUGGAGGUGAUGUUCCCUUUGUUACAUAGCAUCUGUGAAAUUGCUCCUGUGAUCCACUGCCAGGUUAAAAAAUGUAACUCCAAUUUCAGUCUCUUCCUAUGUACAAAGAGAGCAUCAAAAAUGUAAUUGCAAGUAAAGCACAAAAAUGUGACAGUGAAGGUAAUUAAUCAGUGGGACAGAUUACCAAGAAAUGCAGUAGACUGUCCAUGCUUUAGAAAUGUUUCAUCAAAGUUACAGACCUUUAUUAAUGUUAUAUUCUAGUUUAACCAUGAAGCAUUGGGCUUGAUUACAGGAAUUACUGGAUGAAAAUCAAUAUGACGCACAAGGUCAGACAGGUUACUCUCAGUAGUCCCGUCUAGCCUUAAAAUCUCUGGGUCUAAGGAUUUUCUGCAGCUGUAAUGUGUGCAAACAGAUGUAAUCUUAUUGAUAUUGCUUCCUGCAUUCUUUUCUGCCGCUCAUGAAUAAACAUCUCACUCAUUGAGG
Gymnogyps californianus (California condor) is the source of this 2665-nucleotide long non-coding RNA. RefSeq lists it as uncharacterized. NCBI's taxonomy places the organism in Eukaryota, Metazoa, Chordata, Aves, Accipitriformes, Cathartidae. The record is from RefSeq and is a predicted model, not a curated record. The transcript is spliced from 3 exons.